RNAcentral lists this ribosomal RNA (459 nucleotides) under uncultured bacterium. RNAcentral's name for it is "partial 16S ribosomal RNA". It matches the Rfam family "Bacterial small subunit ribosomal RNA", at positions 338 to 795 of the family's 1533-position model. The record is from RNAcentral.
CCUACGGGGUGCAGCAGUGAGGAAUAUUGGUCAAUGGGCGCGACUCUGAACCAGCCAAGUCGCGUGAAGGAUGAAGGCGCUAUGCGUUGUAAACUUCUUUUGUGCGGGAAUAAACGGCGUCACGCGUGGCGUUUUGAGGGUACCCGAUGAAUAAGCAUCGGCUAAUUCCGUGCCAGCAGCCGCGGUAAUACGGAGGGUCCGAGCGUUAUCCGGAUUUAUUGGGUUUAAAGGGAGCGAAGGCGGUCCGUAAAGCCGGCGGUAAAAGCCCGGGGCUCAACCCUGGCCAGCCGUUGGAACUGGCGGGCUUGAGUGGGCGGGAGGUACGCGGAAUGCGUGGUGGAGCGGUGAAAUGCUUAGAUAUCGCGCAGAACUCCGAUUGCGAAGGCAGCGUACCGGAGCCGUACUGACGCUGAGGCACGAAGGCGCGGGUAUCGAACAGGAUUAGAUACCCUGGUAGUC